GAAAGGAAAGAGUAAAGUUGCAGAGAGAGCAAAAAUUGCGCACAAAGUUACACAAAGCGUUUGUCGUAUAUUGAAUCGUGGAAGAAACGAAGAAUUAUUCUUCUGCAAAGAUCUGUCGUUCAAAAUGUUCCGAAACUUUGUAUUUUUUCAAUCAUCCUUAGAAAUUAAUCUAAAAGUGAGACGAAAUUCAAUGGAAUUUUAUUUACUUUAAUUCUCUUUUGGUCGAGUUUUAAUCAGGACUGGAAUAUAUCGAAGAAUAUAUUUUAACCAAUUCUCUUCCAUAUAAAGCUUCCUCUUUCGAAAGAUUGGAAGAGGAGAAAAGAUCCAUCACCGUCGAUUCCUUUGACGGGUGCAGCGAGAGAAUCAAGGUCACAGGACGAAAAACCGAGGUGCACGUGGCACGGGACGCAUUUCCACGAGGAUGUGAUCGUGCAGAUGGGGCGGUCGGAUGCAGGGGUGAGCUCGGGCGGCCAUGUCGGUUCCCAAUUAAACAAAUGCCCGCUGGAAACUCGAGCAACCCCUCGAGCCAGGCUCCCUCCCUCCCCCUCUCUCUCUCCCUCCGCUCGACCGCAGAAGGGGGAUCGGCGGAGCGCACGUGUCGAGCAGCAUGCGAAAUUCGAAUCGAGGCUGGUCUGCUGCUGAUGUGUGUGGCUUACGUUCGACCUACCUUCCGUCUUUCGAUGUGUGCACGCGUUAUAUACGUAUGCAUUGCUUAUAUAUGUGUUGCACGCGCGCGAAUCGCUGCCACGAUCUUUCGACACACGCGUACAAUCGCGAGAGUGCGGUUGAAAUUUUUGAUUAACCGAUUUGUAUGGGUAAAGAGUUUUGCAUUUACGGAUCAUUUUGUAUUUUGCCCGAGAAUCGAGUGUGUUUUCAAUCGUGCAAGGUGAAUUUAAUCUCGCUCAAACAAAGAAGAAUGUUGUUUUUUAUCUUUAAAUUCAAUGGGAAGAAGAUUAAAGUACGUAUCGUUUCUCGUUUGAUUUUUAUCGAGAAGCUUUGAAAGCUUUUGUGACAAGAUGAAAGGAAAUAUUCGAAUUUUUUUUUUUUUUUUCUUCUUUCAUCUUCGGAAUUUUCAUUUAAACAUCUCGUUGAGAGAUUGGCUUGGUCGGAUAGCAGCGAUGUUUGCGCAAUAUCUGUUGGCACAACAAAGAUUGCUAAUCGAUUUGAAAGAAUGCGAAUAAACGAUGGUCUCUCCGCAAACAAAUCGUGGCAUGGUGGCAUUUGGUGAACAGUUGUUUCGCCAAAUCCGAGAAAGCGAAACGCAAACAUCGAUCUAUGACGCAGAUAACCCUUCUUCUUGCGGCGCAUCAAGGCUGGAGUGCGAGAGGAAAACGAGAGAUGCGAUAAACUUUUACCUUUGACCUUGCACGGGAAAAAGGCGAAUAUAAAUAGAAGGAAAACGAGAGGUUUCAGCACUUUCGACUUGCGAAUUACAUUACGAAUCCAAAUAUUGGAGCGUCUCUAGCAUGCUCGAGGCGAGUCAAACUGUUUGACUUUCCGAUUGUUCUUGCGUUCGGUUUCGUGGUGCAAAGUCUGGCUAGUCAGCAGCCGGACAACGACUGCCUCCGCUAAUCCAGAAAGCGGCUUAAGCAAACGCGAGGAUCCCUUUGGGAAUCUGGCGCUGAUCAGGAAACCAGUCACCGUUCCAGAAGAAACGCCCAUCGAAAAUCCCUUAUGCGUCGAGUACGUUGUACCAUGGAGUUAAAAAAACGUUCGAGAUCAAACGACGUUAAACUCGAAACGAUAUUUUUACGAAAGAAAAAUAGAUAGAAAAAGAGAAUGAGAAUAAUAAGAUUAAGAUUGUUAUUGAACGCAUCGAUAUAAUCUUAUUUUUAUAUUGCGAUAUUAACGAAUGUUGAAAAAAUAUACGAAAGAGUCAGCACUUUGUUCAUUAUCUAUACUUUUUUUACGAGAUACAAUGACGACUGCCAACUAUGCAUCAAAUUUUCUUUUCUCUUCAUUUUCAUCUUUCCAUUAAUUAAUUUAUUAAUGAAAUUAGCUUCCAAAAAAUUAGCUUCCAAUCCAAUGUUCAGUUUAAUUCGAAUUCUUAGAUUUUAUGAAAUGUAUGAUAUAGUCGUAAAGUUUUGGCUGGUAGUGUGUGUGCGCGUGUCCAUUUGCACAGUUAUUUAUAAUGCUAAUAGUGAAAGCUAAUGGAAUUCGAGUGUACUUGGAUCUGCGUUCAGUUUCAACAGUCUUUUAUGGGAAUCCAGACAGAUGGCGUAGUCAUCUUCGCCAGUAACACCCAUCUCUAAGAACAGAGAAUCUCGUAAUAAUGCUUAUUUCUUUUUUUUUUUUCUGAUUCUAAAUCGAUCAUGAUCAAAACUCAGGAUAUUCUGGAUAAAGUAAGAUUGAUUCAGAGUUGCGCAAGUGCAUUGACACAUUGAUUCACGUGUCUUUGUUCUAUCUAAAGUAAUUAAAAUACAUUGAUCUUUUUUAUUACAACUUUUUCUUAAUUUAAAGAUAUUAGAUAUUAAAGAUGUUUGAUUGUAAUGAUUUCAACGAAGAAAGAUAACAUUGCAAAGGCGACAACAAUUCAAAGAUAAAAUACUUUCUUAUACUGCGCGAUUUAAAAUUGUACACGCGAAUCAGUUUUU
Molecule: long non-coding RNA, 2594 nt
Filed under: Apis mellifera (honey bee)
Lineage: Eukaryota; Metazoa; Arthropoda; Insecta; Hymenoptera; Apidae
Description: uncharacterized LOC107965565
Source: RNAcentral